Non-coding RNA from Trichonephila clavipes, 94 nucleotides. Lineage: Eukaryota; Metazoa; Arthropoda; Arachnida; Araneae; Nephilidae. The record is from the annotation of a GenBank genome assembly.
AUAAUAGUCCAACACCAUACAUAAAAAGGAAAAUCUUUCGUUGUGCGUUGGACUUCUAAUCCAAAGGUCGUGGGUUCGAAUCCCACUUGGGAUG